This 253-nucleotide ribosomal RNA is filed under the name uncultured bacterium. Its description in RNAcentral is "partial 16S ribosomal RNA". It matches the Rfam family "Bacterial small subunit ribosomal RNA", at positions 524 to 776 of the family's 1533-position model. The record is from RNAcentral.
UACGAAGGGGGCUAGCGUUGCUCGGAACCACUGGGCGUAAAGGGUGCGUAGGCGGUUCUUUAAGUCAGGGGUGAAAUCCUGGAGCUCAACUCCAGAACUGCCUUUGAUACUGAAGAUCUUGAGUCCGGGAGAGGUGAGUGGAACUGCGAGUGUAGAGGUGAAAUUCGUAGAUAUUCGCAAGAACACCAGUGGCGAAGGCGGCUCACUGGCCCGGUACUGACGCUGAGGCACGAAAGCGUGGGGAGCAAACAGG